Molecule: ribosomal RNA, 400 nt
Filed under: phytoplankton environmental sample
Lineage: Eukaryota
Description: partial small subunit ribosomal RNA
Rfam family: Eukaryotic small subunit ribosomal RNA
Source: RNAcentral
AGCUCCAGUAGCGUAUAUUAAAGUUGUUGCAGUUAAAAAGCUCGUAGUUGGAUCUCGGGUUGUCGGCUGCGGUUCAGGUUCAUGCCUGUCUACUGCUGUCGAUACCUAACCGGUGGGACGCUGUGGGUGCCCUUGACUGGGUCGCCUACUGCACCCGCUCAAUUUACUUUGAAAAAAUUAGAGUGUUCAAGGCAGGCUCACACGCCUGAAUAAUGGUGCAUGGAAUAAUAGAAUAGGAUCUCGGUUCUAUUUUGUUGGUUUUCGGAACUUGAGAUAAUGAUUAAGAGGGACAGACGGGGGCAUUCGUAUUGCGGUGUUAGAGGUGAAAUUCUUGGAUCGCCGCAAGACGAACUACUGCGAAAGCAUUCGCCAAGAAUGUUUUCAUUAAUCAAGAACGAAA